UGAGGUCCUAUGAGUCCGAUGUGAGCAUGGAUGUUCUGGGGAUGAAGAUUUAAUGAAUUGCUUGUGGUGCCCAUUAGCCAACAAAUGCCUUGAAAAGUCACGUCAAAACAUUGCAGACAAAUAAAAAGGAUGAUAAACUUCUAUUUUUUAUCAUUGGACAGAUGUCAAUAGACAAGAACCAAUUCAAUCCAAUCUUGGCAGCAUAAAGCCAACAAAUGUUUCAAAAAGUAACUUCAAAGCAUUGCAAAGAAAUGAAUAGGAUGAUGAACUUCUAUCUAUAAUUUGACAAUUGUCAAUGGACAGGGACCAAUUCAAUCCAAUCUUGUCAGCAUGAAGCUAACAAAUGCCCUACAGAAGCCAAUCAAUAUUAAAACAUGUCAGGAAAAUAAAACAUGACGUAUCAAUUGACGAUCUAACCUACCACUUAGGCUGUGAAAAUACGAAGUAUGGAGGAUCUAAUGAUGAAAAAUGUACAAUGCUGUUUAAAACUUCAUGAGGGCAAUUGACAGAAGCGAAGGAGAUGCAAUUUUAUGAAUAUCCCAUAAGCCAGUCAGCAAUCUAUUCUGAAUCACCAUCAUAGGAAGCAACCCAACACUGUUUCGAAGGAUCCUUUCGGCGAAUAUCAGUGGGUCGUUUUUUGCAUCAAUAUAUUCAUUUCUUUGGAAAUAGUUUCAUUAUCCUUCAUUUCAAUAAAAACUUAUAUAGCCAA
RNAcentral lists this long non-coding RNA (709 nucleotides) under Leptinotarsa decemlineata (Colorado potato beetle). RNAcentral describes it as "uncharacterized LOC111505199, transcript variant X1". The record is from RNAcentral. Lineage: Eukaryota; Metazoa; Arthropoda; Insecta; Coleoptera; Chrysomelidae.